AGUAAUUCAAACAGAAUAUACUAAUACGAAGUUUUUAGUAAUUCAAACAGAAUAUACUAAUACGAGGUUUUAACAGUAUAUUAAUUUUUACAGAUUUAAAUGUUUUCUAUUAAUAAUUUAUUAAUAGAAAACAAACUAUAAACCUUGAUAUUUGGGAUAAGGUUAUCUUAGUAAAGCCAUGAUCCAAGCAAGUAUUGUGAAUUUUAAAAUAGAUAUCACAGAUGUAAUGGUUUGCAAAAUUGGUACUGUAAGCGUGUGGCUUGUAAAGCUGCUCAUGUGUAUGGGUUUAUUAAAAAAAUUUGUGCUGGCAAAUAUCAAAAAGAAUAUACAAACAACAACUUUUUUGUUAUUGGCAGGCUGCAUUUGACGACUUACCUUCCUGCAAUGAGAUUAAAACAACCUCCAACAAGCCAAUUUAAAAAAUUUUCCAUUGCAGCAUGUUCUAAAAGGAAUUUCUUUAAGUUAUUUUUGAAGAUUGUUUAAUGCUGGUUUUUUACCAAACUUUAAUUUUAAAAAACUAUUCACAUAUA
Molecule: non-coding RNA, 530 nt
Organism: Hydra vulgaris (swiftwater hydra)
Lineage: Eukaryota; Metazoa; Cnidaria; Hydrozoa; Anthoathecata; Hydridae
Source: RefSeq, a predicted model, not a curated record